CAUUAUCAAGAUUCCUUUGGACUCUUUCUCGGGAAGCGUGUGCUUCUUCCAUGCCUAUGUGAGCCCACAUGAAAGAAACAGUACCUCUCCCUUUGCACCUUCUCCAUCUAUAAAUACAUGAUCAUGGUGGAUGGUGCAAAGCAUUGGAGAUAUAGCAAUCCCAUUUCAAGCAAACACAACUUUCACUUCUCACUUUCAACAACUUUCCAAAUUCACCAUGUCUGACAAGUGCGGCGACUGCGACUGCGCAGACAAGAGCCAGUGCACGUAAGUAAUCGAUUCCCCAUUAAUCCAUGACAAACCUUCAGCGGUAGUUCUGGGGUUGUGUUGUUUGAGACCAUGUUACUGUUGCUAACUUUUUGUGUUCAUGAUCUUAAUGAGUCUCAGCUUUAUAUAACAUGUUACUCUUAGGCUGAACAAAACUUUUCAAAACCAUCUAUUAUAUCUUUUCCUCCCUUGUUUCCUGCAAGACAACUUGCUAAAAUUUUACCAAAUCCGAUUCUUGUUAAAAUUUUAAAUCAUAUUAUUUUCGUGUUUUUUUCUUUGUCAGGUCUAGUGGAAAUUUACACUAAUUGUUAUUUUAAGCUCUUCAUGAGUUUGCAAUCAAGUAUAACCGAAAACUAAAGCUUUUUUUUUUUUUUUUUCUGAUUUUUUUAUGCUUCAGGAAGAAGGGAAACACCUUGGUCGUUGAGACUGAGAAAAGGUACGUAUACUUUUGCUCUUCAAAGGUUCUGACAUCAGCAAAGAAACAAACCAAUAAUAUAUAUAUAUAUAUAUGCUGCUAAGAUCUGAACCAUCCCUGAGGAACUUAAUUCGCAAUAUUCAUAUGCAUAUGCUAAUUGUAAUCUGUUGUGUUGUUUCUGUGCAGCUACGUCAACACUGUCGUGGUCGAGGCUGCGGCAGAGAACGAUGGCAAGUGCAAGUGCGGAGCUAGCUGCAGCUGCACAAACUGCACUUGUGGUGAUCAUUAAGCAAACAUAGAGCAACGAUGUUUUAGCUCAUGGCAAUAUUGGGACCUAAAAAAUAAUGAAAUUUGGGUUGAAUAAUUUGUGUCUUUUUUUGUAUGUGUGUGUUUUUCAUUUCUGUCAGUCACGUCAUGUUCUGUGAUGUAAUGGCCAUGUCUAUGGCCUUGUCUGGUUAAUGAAUUACUAUUAGUAUAAGAAAUUUAUACUUUUUUUAAAGUAUAUGAGCCAAAGAGAAUUAAAUUCUCCAUCAAUCUUCCCAAAAAGAUGCUUAGCAUUUGGAUGGUCAAUAUUUAAGGGUAAUUUAUGCCAAACAUAUGCAUGUUGGAUGCUAGAGAGCUACAUUUUUUAAAGCAAAUAGAAAGUGAAAAAAAAUAUAUGCAUGAUCAUCUUGAUGGAAUUUUUGAGAUAAUAUCAUAAUCCUAAGAAGUUGUAAGCUCCAUUUAUAUAUAUAUAUAUAUAUAUAUAUAUAGUUAUAGUUAUCUUUGUGACUAUUAGUAUUUUACUUUUUUAUUUCAAAAAGAAAAAAAUAAUUAAAAAUGCAUUUACAAAACAAAAAUACAUUGAAAAACUAAAAAUUAGAUUUUAACUUUCAUCAAUAAAAAAGGAAAUUAAAUAUUUCUUUUAUGUAAUGAAUUUAUUUUUAUUUAUUUUUUACAUUAUAAACUUUUUAUAUACAACAUUAGAAUAUAUAAAACUAUGCAAAUUUUAAUAUGUUAUGUCAAUUUACCUUUGAAAAAGGAGAAGGAACACAUUAAGAAUAUGCAAUCAAGUGAAUGAUGUAACUGCCACUCAUAUUUUGUCUAUAAGAUUGAUUAUACCAUACUUAUAAUUAAAUUAUGUCCAAGAUAAAGCUGCUAAAAAUGUCAGUAUUCCACCGACUAUCGUUUGAAUCAAUUGACAUAUUAUUAGACACUUAAAAAUUGUGAAUUUAAAAAAACUUAUGCACGUAAUGUUCUUUUUAAUUAAGUAUUAGAAUGAAAGGUUUAAGAAUAGAUUAAGAAUUUCAAAAAAGAAUUGUUAAUGUUUUAAUCAAUAACCAUCACAAACUAAAGCCCUUCUACCAUUUUUUUUAUAUUGGCUUUGGUUACUAAAGUGUUUCAAAGCAUCAAGAAAUUUCUUACCAAUCUUGAAAAGAAAUUCUCUUAGAAGAAUCAUAAAAUAGAUUUUUUUUCAUUUUUUCACCAAAAAUCAUAACUUAAAAAAAAUUUAAAUAUUAAAUUUUAAAUUUACCAUUAACCACCUUAAAAGAAAAUAUAAUCAAUUAAACUAACACUCAAAGAUCAACUUACCUUUGAAAAAGGAGAAGGAACACAUUAAGAAUAUGUAAUGAUGUGAAUGAUGUAACUGCCACUCACAUUUUGUCCAUAAGAUUGAUUAUACCAUACUUGUAAUUAAAUUAUGUCCAAGAUAAAAGAUGCUAAAAAUGUCAAUGUUGCACCGAUCGUCUUUUAGAUUAGUUGAUAUAUCAUUAAAAUUAACACUUAAAAAUUAUAAAUUUAAAAAAUUUAUACGCAUAUUAUCCUUUUCAACAAAAUAAAUAAUAGAAUAAGAGAUAUUAGAAUAAAUUAAAAUUUUCAAAAAAAAAAAGUCAAUGUUCUAAUCAAUAUCCAUCACAAACUAAAGCCAUUUUACCUUUUUUUUCUUUCUUGGCUUUGGUUACUAAAGUGUUUCAAAGCAUCAAGAAAUUUCCUACCAACAAUCUUGAAAAGAAAUUCUCUUAAGAGAAUCUUAAAAUAAAUCUUUUCAUUUUUUACCAAAAAUCAUAACUCAAAAAAAUAUAUAUAAAUGUUAAAAUUUAAAAUUUAAAUUUACAAUUAAUCAUCUUAAAAGAAAAUAUAAUCAAUUAAACUAACACUCAAAGAUCAAUUUGGUAUGCUCUAAUAAAAGACUAGUGAUUAGAGCACAUGAUACUUUUAUUUUUUUUUAUAAUUAAAAUUAUCAAAAUUUAAAUCUUAAUUACUAAAAUUAAAAAUUCUAACACUCUAUCGUCUUUCCACUUGUUAAGUGAGAGAAAGAUUGAUUGAGAUCUAUAAAUAUAUCUCAAAAAGGAGAAAUGAAAUUGACAUGAGAGGCGGAUAGUAAGCCAAAUCCCUCCUCCAUUAUCAAGAUUCCUUUGGACUCUUUCUCGGGAAGCGUGUGCUUCUCCCAUGCCUAUGCGAGCCCACAUGAAAGAAACAGUACCUCUCCCUUUGCACCUUCUCCAUCUAUAAAUACAUGAUCAUGGUGGAUGGUGCAAAGCAUUGGAGAUAUAGCAAUCCCAUUUCAAGCAAAUACAACUUUCACUUCUCACUUUCAACAACUUUCCAAAUUCACCAUGUCUGACAAGUGCGGCGACUGCGACUGCGCAGACUCGAGCCAGUGCACGUAAGUAAUCGAUUCCCCAUUAAUCCAUGACAAACCUUCAGCGGUAGUUCUAGGGUUGUGUUGUUUGAGACCAUGUUACUGUUGCUAACUUUUUGUGUUCAUGAUCUUAAUGAGUUUCAGGUUUAUAUAACAUGUUACUCUUAGGCUGAACAAAACUUUUCAAAACCAUCUAUUAUAUCUUUUCCUCCCUUGUUGCCUGCAAGACAACUUGUUAAAAUUUUACCAAAUCCGAUUCUUGUUAAAAUUUUAAAUCAUAUUAUUUUCGUGUUUUUUUCUUUAUCAGGUCUAGUGGAAAUUUAUACUAGCUGUUAUUUUAAGCUCUUCAUGAGUUUGCAAUCAAGUAUAAUUGAAACUAAAAGCUUUUUUUUUUUUUUUUUUUCUGGUUUUUUUAUGCCUCAGGAAGAAGGGAAACACCUUGGUCGUUGAGACUGAGAAAAGGUACGUAUACUUGUGCUCUUCAAAGGUUCUGAUAUCAGCAAAGAAACAAACCAAUAAUAUACACACAUAAAUUUCACAUAUGCUGCUAAGAUCUGAUCCAUCCCUGAGUAACUUAAUUUGCAGUAUUCAUAUGCAUAUGCUAAUUGUAAUCUGUUGUGUUGUUUCUGGGCAGCUACAUCAACACUGUCGUGGUCGAGGCUGCGGCAGAGAACGAUGGCAAGUGCAAGUGCGGAGCUAGCUGCAGCUGCACAAACUGCACAUGUGGUGAUCAUUAAGCAAACAUAGAACAAUGAUGUGUUAGUUCAUGGCAAUAUUGGGACCUAAAAAAUAAUGAAAUAUGGGUUGAAUAAUUUGUGUCUUUUGUUGUAUGUGUGUGUUUUUCAUUUCUGUCAGUCAUGUCAUAUUCUGUGAUGUAAUAACCAUGGCUAUGGCCUUGUCUGGUUAAUGAAUUACUAUUAGCAUAACUCUUCUCUAGUUUGAUUCUAAUAAUCCUUCUUUCCAUAUAAUGAUGAGACUCGAAAAUAAACAUAUGACCAAACCCAGAUCUUAGCUCGGUUAAUUCACAUAUGGUCAUCCGAGGUAGAUCCAACAAGUCUGAUUAGUAUUGCUUGGAAAAAUAAGAAAGGGAAAAAUGUUUACUCAAGGAUCCAAGACAUACAGAGUCCUCUCUGUCAAUGGAUUCAUUUAAGUUUUCUGGCAGAUCCAAUUCAUACCAUAGAGCCAAACAACCUCAUAAAAAUGGAAAAAUACCCAAUUUUCAUCAGGAAAAAGAAAAAGCAGUCACAAUUCAUCAGAACAACAAAAACCCAAAUAGAAAAUAACAUGAAUCAAUCAAAUUAACACUUGAUAAUGAUAAAAAUUAUAUCUUUAUUAUUACUGAAACGACAAAAUAAAAUUUAUAUAUCAAAAAUACAUUAAAUAUAUAUUUUAUAUGUAAAAAAAAAAAGGUUACUCUUGUAAAUUUGUAAAUUGUAAGCAUAUCAAAAUCAUAAUUAGAAUUUUCAGAAUAAAAAAAUGAUUAUUAAGGAGAUUUGCAUUUGUUUGAAGGUCCCAUUUCUCGAUUAUAGGUCACACCAAAAUCAAGUAAGGAAAAAAAACGUUUUUUGUAAUCGAACAGCUUGGUUGGCUGUUGGCACAACAAUUGGAUCCAAAGGACGCACCUUUCUCUAAAAAUUUAGUACCACACGUAUGUGUCACAGGCCGCGAGCGUGCUUUGCCCGCAUCACUUCGAGUAAGUCUCGUCACGCAAUCUUCUUAUUCUAGGACUCAUGCAUUGUUCGUGACAUACAUUUAUGUUUAUGUCGUAAUUAUUUUGUUAAAAGCGAUGAUUAAAAAGAACAAUACUACUUACCCGAAAUAUUUUAAAAACAUGUAAGAACAUAUUUUUUUUUCAUCAAAAUAACUUUUCUUGAUAAGUAGACUUUCAUCAAUUUCUUUUUGAUAGCUCCAUAUCUGAUUUUUGUUGCAGGUGGCUCUUUCACCUGUCAAAUGGAUUGGCAAGCUAGCGCCGGAUGUCUGAUCCAAUAUGAAGUGACUUGAAAGUUUUUACAAAUUUAUUGAUCACUAUAAACCUAUAUGGUAAUUCUUCAUGAAACCAAUAUUAUCUUUAAUCUUUUCUUGAUAUAACCUAUGAUAUUAAAGAAGAUAUAAGAAAUAUAGAUUGGUUUCAAAUCUCACUAGACUUAAUUCUAGAUUAUUUGACUAUCGAAAAUUUUGGUAUGUGAUAAUGAUAUAAUUGUAUUUGUUUCGCAUCAUGGAAUAAAUAUAAGAAAAAAAUGAUAUUUUAGUAAAAAAUCAUAUAAUAUAAAUAGAAUAAACUUGAAAAUUUAUAAUUACAAAAGAAAGAAAUAGAAAAGAUAAAAGACAAAAGGAUUCACUAUAGCUAAGGAAACAAAUUAUUGCAAUUAAGAAAUAUUGCAUUCUAUAAAAGAUUUAAACUUUGUAUGAAUAUAAGAGCUUAUACUAAAAUAAAAUAGCGAUGUAAAAUAUUCAAUUAGCCUAACUAAUUAAAGUAGAAAAAAUAAAAAAGAUCAUAUAUGUAAAUUAAUAAUGACAAUAGCAAUAUCAAUUACAUCAUUUUACAUGCAAUUACAGAUUAAACAUGUAAUUACUGAAAAUAGUAAAAAAUUACAUAUUAAACCAUUUAAGCAUAAUGGAACAUAAACUUUUAUAAGUUUCACUGAUUAAUUAUUCAUGAAACUUGUAAAACUAAUUUUUUUUAACUAUUCAUUCUUCAACACCUUUUAACUUUGCAAAGUCCAUUCCUGUAUCAAUUCAAUUUAUCUUUUAUUUAACUUAAUUAGAAUUGUAAAUUAAACAUCAAUGUCCUAGCUUAUACGUGAGCAAGAAAUAGGUAAGCAACCCUAAACCAAAGUGUUUAAAAGAUAAUUUAAAUAAGACUUAAAUUAGAUGUAUUCCAUAACAGCACAGGAAAAGGCCAACUUAAGGUAAAUACUUAUUGUAAUAAUUGGAUAGGCACUUAUGCAAUACUACUGUGAAUGGAUGUCACACGAUUGAUAAGAAUGUUCUUGUUGUUUCUUAUUUGACUGCUACUCAGAUAUAGAAGCAUCAUCAUUCUCAUAGUAACCUUCUUCAUCAUAGCUCUUUUUCUUUCUUGCAUGGGUAAGUUUUGACUAAGGAUGAAAGAAUACAAAUAAAGAUCAAUAGUCUAGUCUUGCUUCAUGAAUCAAUAAAAAAUUGAAAUUAGCCAAACAUAAUGAAUUUUUUCCAUCAAACCAAGAUUUUCAACUGAAAUUAAUAAAAUAUGUCAUUUAUAGGACACAAAUUCAAAAAAAUAAUAGUAAUUGGAUUUCCUUUUGGUAUUGUUUGUAUGUGGUAAAGGAAUAUCUAAUCUAACAAAAGCUCACUUAUUUAAUAUUAAAAUUUUGUUCUAUUGAUAAACAUGGCAUAAGUUUCAUGCUAGAAACUAUAUGGUCAUAUGAAAUGUUAAACAACUCUUAAUAAACAGACUACUACCCAUUCAAUUAUUUUUUGAAAUCAAACAAAAAUUUUAUUCUUUUUUUUUGUUUUUUAUUUAAUUCAUAAUUUAUUGGAUUUCACAAACAUAGAAGUAGAAGAGAGGGAGCUAAUAGAAGAAGUAACUAAAGCAAAAAAUAUUGCAUGACUAAGCAUUAGGUGGACCGUAAGGCCAAUCUUCCAAUUUCUUGCAUCAUCUAACAUCGCUACAUGGAAAUUAAUACAUUUAUCAAUCCGUUUACAUCCAUAUAAGGUAAAAAAGGUUAUCUUAUAAAAAAUAGAAGUACUUAUUACUUUUUCAACCAACUUAACAGAUUCAUAUUUCAUAUACGCAAGCAUAACAAUCGCUUUCUCAACAAUCUUAAGAUAUAGUAAUUAGGGGCAAACAAAAUAAAAAUUAACUUCUUUUCUACCAUUAAUUUAAACUUUAUAAAUGUUAAAUCAUAAAUCAUUCGUCUAAUUUUAAAACCAUCAUAAAAUCUGUCCAAAAUCAUUGGUCUAAGGACCAUGAACGACUAUGGACCAUUGCACACCCUACAUCCUACUAUUUUACUAUAUAUGUUUUCAAGUUUGUUAGAGUCUUUUUAUUUUUCUAGAAUAAAAACAUGAGAAAGUCAUAAGCAUUAUUUCAACUCCUCAUUCAGCUCUUUAGCACCAAACUCAUCAAAGCUCUUCCCUGCAACAAUUGUCUUUUAGUUACUACUCCUAACAAUUUCUCAAAUGUAAGAGAACCAAUACAUAUAUAAAAAAAAAAGAAACAACUUAUUAACUGCUUAGUAAAUAUGUAGUGGUUAAAUAUAACCAACCCAAUAUUUUAUUAAGCUCAAAGAAACUAAUGCUAAGUUACAUAUAACCAACAAAAAAAUAAUAUCAAAUUUGUAAUUUUUUUUUUGUUUUUUCUUAGUAUCUCAAAUACCCAACAGCACACAAAAUAAGCUAAGGUUCCAAGCCAAACAAACUAAAUUAAAAAAAUAAGAAGAAUCAAUAGGUAAAGAGAGUGUGAGGAAAAGAUAAACCUAGAGCUGAGUAAAAGAAAAAACUUCAAUGAUAUAUACACAUAUAUAUAUAUAUAUAUGUAGAGAGAGAGAGAGAGAGAGAGAAAGCGUUAGAUGUGAAAAGAGUGAAGUAAGAGAUUGAAAGAACCAGAAAGCUUUAGUUUUUAAUACUCUUAGUCUUUUACUACUAAACAAAGAACUUAAAAACUCAGCAAAUGUUUUUGGAUUACUUGACCUACUUUUGUUGGGUCUUUUUAUUAUACCAUCAUGUUGGCUUGCUUUGCUUCAAUGCUUGGCAUCUCUCUUUCUACUUUGAACUCUCUUUUAUCUCCUUACCAUAAAGAAAAAAGUAAUCAAAUAAAAAAACACAACAAUUUGAAAAAAAAAAAUCAUAUUCUAACUAUUAUACAUGUAAUCCAACUAUUACGAAGGUUGAAGAAAAGUAUCAAACCAAUAUGAACAAGAGUUGACCUUAAAUCAAAACAAUAUCAAAUAUUUAAUAAUUUAUAAAAAAAUAAAAUAAAAUACUCAUCAAAUUAAAGCAAAACUCUCACCAAAAAUAAAAUAUCCAAAAAUUUUGUCACUCAUCAAAAGGGAAACACAUUCAUUGAAAAAAAUCUGAAAUUUCUAAACAAAUAACGAAUAUAGAACCCCAUAGAGCAGAAAAAGUUUUAACAAAACAAAACCCAUAAUGUAUUCAAACCCAAAAACAAAGAAAUACAAUGAAAAAAAAAAUAGAAAAAAGGAGAAAAUAUGGACAAACGGCAUCAAGGAUGAUAGCUAAGCAAUAAAAAAUUCUAGAAGAAAUAAAAAGAAAUAGUAAAAGCCAAAAAAACCCUUCUUCAAAAGAGGAAAAAAUGAUGAGAAACCAAACCAAAAAUAGAGACAUGUGACAACCCAAGGAUCUUUCGGGAUCUUUUUUAUAUAUAAUAGUAUAGAUUAUAAAUACUUAAAAUUGUUCAAUCCAAUACUGAACCAAAUUCAAAAACUCUAUCAUUAAAUAAAAAAAAAAUUCAAUCCAAAACUUGAGUAACAACUGAACUCAUCUCGAGAAGAAAUUGCAUAGAAGAACUCAAUUAUAAAUUACUUGAAUUAGAGCAAUUAACCAUUCAAACUCCAAUAUCUCAUCAGUUUGUUAAAAAAAAAUGAAAAAACCCACUAAGUUUGGCUGUCGCCAACCGAUCCUAAACAGGAUUGAAUCUAAUCCGAAAUUCAAUACAAAAAAAAUGGCUUGUAGCUUGUAAGAAAGAAGUUUCAUUUCAUACAAUUGACAAGUUUCUGUUAAUGCAGAAGCAGAACACUCAAGACUCCCUGAAAGCUGAAAGCUGCAGGGUAAGGGAUACUUAAACUUCCUCAAUUCAUGACAACUUUAAACUAAAUCUGAUAAUUCAUGCAUGUGUUUUUUUAUUUUGUAUAAAACAUUUGUAAAAAACAAGAAUUAUCAAGUCAUAAUUCACAUUGAUAUGUUAAACAUGAAAUAUAUUUUUUUGUUUUCAAUUUUUUUCAUAUUAUCUUUGUAUUGUGUUACCAUAUUGUAUUUAAAAUUGUCGAAGUUUAAUUUACAGCGAAGGAUAUAGAAUAUCAAUACUUAUUUUGUUUUUGGAACUUUUAUCUUUGUUCAAGAAUAAAUCAAUUGGAACCCGAAACUUUACUCAAAUUAUUCACGUAAUCAUCUUUGAAAGGUAACAUCCAGCGAGUAUGGGGUUCGAGUCUAAUACUUGCAACCCCUUCCUGUAUAAAAAUUCAAUUGGGUUGAUCAACUAGCCAUUCCUGACUUGACUGAGUGAUCAACUAGGCAAACAAGAAAAAGCCUGACACAAAAUGCAGCAAUUCCUUACAUUUCUUAUUGUUUUCUGUAGCAAAAAUUACAUGGAAAUUUAUUACAUUAAGCCAAGGCCCCUCAAACAUCAGCAUUAGAAGGUAAAGCAUAUUCACACUUCCGGAAUGAAAGCAAACAUGCCAGCCUCAUAUCACAUUCCUUUUCACUUUUCUUUGAACUUAAGCAUGUUCAAGAUCCAGAUCAAGAUUCAAGCAGGAGACACUCCAGGAUUCCAUCACUCCAUCAAUUUUCUCAAGACAUCUUUCUUAGGCUUCAAGAUUCAUUUUUCAGUUUGGACAUGAAAUUCCAGAAAUCCUACUUUGCUGAACAAACAGUUUUGCGUCAGUUCUUGUUCAGAUUUCGGCUAACAAUAUCACUUCUACUCAAAAUCCAAAGUUGUCUUUCUUUUCAAGAAUCAACCUAACUAAUCAUACUUCUCCCUCCAUGAAUAUACAAGAAGGAACACCCAGGAGAGCGCCAAGGCAAUAUCCCCAAGAGCUUGUCUAGGCCACUCAUGAGCAAGAUCCUCAAGCUUUCCUUCAAAAGAAACUCUCCAAAUAACCAUUGAAACAUGAAGAAGUACACACCCUUUAGCAAAGAAGCUUUGGAAUUCUGAGUCUUUAACAAAUGCCACCAUGAACACUACCAAACCAAUAGUGAAUAAAAGCAAUCCAGAAAAUGAUUCAGAGGUUUGGAUCAAGAGUUGAUCAUGAGGUGUUGAACCUUGUAGCUUACUUGCAAUCUCAUGACCAUGGCCAAAAACUGAAACUUCCUUGGUGUAAAACAUCAUUAAAGCUCCACAAGUAAUAGCUACUAUAGAAUGGAGCACACAAAUAAUGAAGAACCCUGGUGAGCUCAUUGAUCAAAGAAACUAAUGGAAACUUUUAUCUUCCUUUUAACCAAAACUGAGCUUUAAAAAAUAGCGUAGCUAAACAGUGACAGCCUCUAAAGUCUAGACCAUACCUUCAAGACAAGUGAUUAGAACCUGUAAUAUAUGGUCCCUAUGAGCAAAACCCAAGCAUAUGAUAAACUUACUUGCUCAAAAACAUAGAUGAAAGCUUGGAUCCAAAACGCUGACCCCAGAGCUGAGGGUGUUAGAAGGCAGAAAUUGAAAGGGGUUUAUAAAAAGGAAGAGUUUCUAAUGGAAGAGGCAAAAGGAGUUUAUUACUUGGGAUUAGCAGUAAUGGGAAAUCGAGCCAGCUGUAUAAAUGAAUAUAAUUUUCAUUAUUUUAUAGGAGAUUUUAUUUGGAUUUAGAGAGGAUAGCCUUGAGAUUGCUUCCUUCCAUACCUCCAUGCACAAAAUGACAUGCUUUUUCCUCGGUUACUUGCUCAUUCUGCAAAGCAACCCAACAUUCGUGGGGUGUAGAGUCAUGGGUGAACAUUAUUUUCCUGUUUUCCCUUUUUUUUUUUCAACUAACUAAUGAUUUUCUUGAUACAAUAAUUUUGGGAUAUCUUUGUUAUACAUGGAAUGAGAUCAUGUAGGGACAAAACUUUAUGGACUUUUUUUGGUAUUUUUGACCAAUCCUAAUAAAUUUUCUACCCAUAAAAAGAACUUUAAUGUCUUGAAUUGAGGAGAUGUGGUUGGUUGAUUGGUCCUCUUUAGAAAGUAAUGGCUCACCAUGUUAGGGACUUUGGCUUAUCUACAGUAGUUGUCAAAUCUUGUCAUUUUCAUUUCAUUACCAAUUAAUGGAGUCACCCUCACCUCAUAAUUUCAUGAAAUAAUAAAAUUGUUAAAAUUCUAAAGACUUCAUGUGUUGUCAAUCUUGAACUUGCAAAAGAUCUCCUCUAACACUGCUUUAGAAAAUAAUAUUCACUGAAUCAAAUGUUCUUAAAUUUUAUAUUGUUAAUUUUAAUAGCAUAAUCAUGGUAUAACAACCUUUCAGGUUUAUUUUUCAAUUGCUUUUGAUUGUUUUAAGAUUACUUUUCUUACUUUACCAAAUUCUUCCGAACAUUGCUGCGUUUUCUUUCUUUUUUCCUAUAGGCCAACCAAAUGAGAACUAUGCUGCGCUAUCAAAUGGAGGUUUUUCAAGAGGAAGCCAUCAUUGAUAGAUCUCACCUUACAGCUGUAGAGAAUAAAGGAUUCAUCUGAUGCUCUAAAAUCAUCUUCCAACAUGGAUAUGAAUCACACGGACAAUCUGGCAAUAGAAACUGUGUUUCAUUUUACCAAACAUGUCUCUUCACAAAAAAUUUUGCUGUCUAAAUUCCAAUCAAACUGUAUCAGAACAAAGAUUACCGCUUUGGGCUAAGCCCUUGUAAGAUUGUCAAAGAGCACAGUCAAAUAUGUAAGAUAAUAUGAAAGAGAGAAGGGAAACAAAUUAACAAGAUUUGUGCCUGCCUAUUAUUUAAUAGAUCUGUUCAAUGGGCUAUAAACAGAUUGGCAUGAUCAGGAGAUUAUCAAAGUCUGCCUUAAGGAGACUCUUAAAUGCUAGAACCCUGUUUACUUUUCCUACAAUAACACAUGUUCAGAAACAAAAUUCACUUCCCCAAAAGCAUAACCAAACACAUUUGAGAGAAGAUACAGUACCGAAUGAGGAACUGCUGUCAAGAACUUGACCCAGCAGUUAGCAAAAGAUGCAGCAUGAAUAUGAAAAUGUGCCAGGCAAGAUUGAAAGCAAGAGACAACGAAAAUGACAGCAGCUUGUAUGAAGCUCAUUCAGGAUGUACAACAAUAAAAGAAUAGAUAUCAAAAUUUCAGACAAAAAAAUGUGCCAUUUUACUCCUUAUAUAAUCCUACCAUUAUCUAAUUAGUCCUACUCCGUAAUGAGUGACGACAAUUAGAAGCAAUUUGAUUUUUGUUAAAAAAAAAAAGGACAAAAAAAGAGCUACACUUCCUUUUCAGUUUGGCUCACACAGCAUUCAAAAGGAAUUGCUAUCUCUAUUACCAGCAGCAGCCUUACGGUGACGCCUGGAACCAGAUCUCUUAUCCCUCCCGUGUCUAGGGAUCUUCUUCCCUGGAGUUCUUCCACGUGUAUUGAUAUUGGUCAAAGCUAGUGGGAUUUGAGUUACAGCAGCAACUGGUGGAGGCAUUUGCUCCAACAAAUCUCUAUGGUAUGCCUGUGAAGAAAAAAUCACAACAAAAUGAUUACAUGUACCCAUCAAACCUACACAUGCCCCCAUCCCAGAACAUGCAUAGAACAUUGGUUGUAUUCAACAAAUGCCUACGGGAUCCCUCUAACCAAAAAAUACCUAAAAAGCCUCAAUUCUUUAAUAAACCAUAUCAUGCAAAUGAUUUUUGACAUCGCAAGAUAUUUGAAACAUGUGUUCUUCUUAACUCCUUACGAAUUUGCGGAUUUGGAAAACAAGCUGCUACCCCCCCCCCCCUUUUUUCUCUCUUUCACCUUUUCUCUUUCUCUCUAUUUGCAUACUCCCAAUAAAAAUGGGAAAAGAAUAUAUUUAGGUUUUAUGCUCUAAAUUAAUCCCAUCAAGUUAAUAUGCCAAUACAUAUUAUGUACCUGUAUGACAAAAUUGCGUCUUUCACAAUCCAAGAACAUAUUUAUACCCCAAUCAACUUUUGCCAUUAUUUUAUCCCUUACUAUGGCAAAGCUUAACUGGUCCCUGGAUGUAAAACGAUCAACUUCAUUAAACCACAGGCAGGUAAACAGAUUUGUGACGGGAAUAUGUUCCUUUAUGAGUACACAACCUUCAGGAACAUCUGUAGGAAACCAGUCAGGCACCAAAAGUUAAAUUAUUUUAAUAAAGAUAUGGUUGAAACAGUGAAAGGAAAAGGCAUGUAUGUAUUUGUGUAAAAUAUUGUACAUACCACUGGUUAUAGGAAGCUUGGCCUCAGAAUAUGGUGUUAAACCCUCACUUUUAUAAAAAUCCACCUGCUCAUCAAUUGAGGAAUUAUCAUAUUUUCCUGCAGCUUUAUUUGCUUCAGCCUCUACAAAGACAUCAAAUCGUCUGUAGUGUCUCGAGAUUGCAAAAUUAGCAUUUUGGCGCCACAGGAAUCUGAGAGGAAGAAUGACCAAAUAAGAAAAUGGUCAAAUUAAAUUCAAUUAUAUCCUCAAAUCUAAAGUUAAAAACUUAAAACAUGCUUACUACAAAUAAUUGAUGGAUAAUUGAAGGCUGUCUUCACUAAGUUACUAAAGCUUUAUAUAGAACCAAAUUUCCUUAAUCAAGUUAUUAGUUCCUUAAGUCCUAACUCUCAGGUUGUACUGCCUUUUCACUUUUCCAUACUCCAACUAGAAUAUAUCUCAAGAAAUCAUAAAAGUCAAAACUUAAAGAGUUAAAAUAUAUAAAUCUUACAACCGGGCAAGCUUACACAAAUAUAAGUCACAUAACUUUUGGAUCAAUGAAUAAUUCACAAAUCAAAUAGAAGAUGAAGCCAACUUUUUGUUGUCAUUGCAUCACAAAUAUGUAAUAUCAUAAUUUGAGAUGGCAUUGCCAGAAUCUCUCAUUCGACCAACAUUGAAUAUUAAACCAAAUUCAAUCUUAUAUUUAAGUAGCUUUGUAAACCAAAAAUUUGGUUAAUAUUCUUGAAUAACAAAGAGAUCGUGAUGUUCCAUUAUUAAGAGAUGCAGUCCAUCUGACAGAACAGAAAUCACAAAAUCUAGAAUUUAGGAAUCCAUUUUUAAAAAUCAACAGCACAUAAAUAAAAUCAUGAAAUGAAGUGUACCUCUCAAGAAUUUGAUAAGGAUCCACAACAAGCUGUAGCUUUCCAUCAAUCCAUAUAGAGUAGCGAACAUUUGGGAAGAUUCUAUGCAAUAAAAGCUUCGGGACCUGCCAAUACAUGCCAGGUAAAAAAGAUUCAGCAGCCCUGAAGUGUAUAUUACCUAUGAAAUUUCUGAUAAGGACGAAUGCACCAGAUAUCCCAGAACUUUCAUCUAAUAUCAACUCAGUCAUUACAAUUUUGUGUAAUGAUAUAAAUUUAGGUUCAUGUUGAAGAGGAAAAACUGAGACAAGGAUGAGAGUCAACGACCCAAUCCCUCCCUCCCCUGCCUCUUCUCUCUGUCAUCCUUGCUCUGGCAGCAUCAGAAAUGUUUUAAAAGAAAACUGGUAGUCUCUGAACUUGACAGUGAAUCCAAAUACUGUAGAACAACUUCACCAUUGUUGCUAAACAUCUAGGAGACUACCUAUCAGAUUAGGUUUAUUUGUACUAUAAAUACCACGACACAUCACUUAUCCACAUUUCUUCACCUAACCAACCAAAAGACAUGUGCUUUUUCUUGUUUGUCUCUUACAACCAAACAAAACUAAAUUGUAGUCACACCCUUUACUAACAGCAAACUGCAAAGUAUAAUACACUAAGUCACCAUUAGUAUUAAGUUUCUAGCAGCCUAGAGUAUAAAAACAAUGAAUCAAAUUACAAAAUCAACCUCACAUUAUAGGUGACAGACAACACAGAACAAGAAUCAAAAGGCACAAGGACAUAGAAACAUCAAACAUAACAUCAGAAUUUCAGUAUUCUCUGCAUGUGUUUAAAUGAUUUAAUGAAUUCAGCAACAGUAAUUCCCACUUUCUUGCAUAUGUACCCAGGAUUCAAUAUCCUUGAUAUCAAAAAAAUAAAUAACUAAAUGAAGAUUCAAGGAUCUUAUAAAUGCUGAAAGAAGAACUGAUUACAAAAAGCCCAAGUAAUGGUCAGAAAAAUGGGGAAAAAAACAGAGCAAAUCAACCAAACCAGUCCGCUGACCUUCCCGUUACGUCUGGCAUCACUGUAAGGAACGUUAUGGCUGACAACAAUUCUCCACAAGCCCACCCUUUUACUGCUAUCCAAAAUACUUUCGUUCUUCAUAUAUGCUUCUGUCUCUUCAUCAAUAAACAUGUAGAAAGGAAUAUUUUUCUUUGCUUCUUCACUAAUAUUCCUCGGCUGUUGUAUUAUGUCAUAGUUCCCUGGAGAAAAAUAAAUAAAGCAAUGAUGAGGAUCAGACAUACAUAAAAGCAAGAAGCUCUUGUGGAAGAUUGAAUGCCUAGCAGUACCAAAUAUGGCUGAUGCAACAAUGAUGUCAUGGAACUGCUGCAACUCUUCAAGGUCAGACUCAUCAAAGUCAAAUCCAGUCUGACGACCAGGUUUACUUCCCUUGACGAAUCUGACAGAAAGUAAAUGGAUUAACAAGACUUAUAUGAAGACAAAUAAUUCAUUGAAUCAUUUACAUGCACCAUAUAAACCAUAACAAUCACAUAAAUUUUUACCUCAAAUGUCUGCAAUAAGUAUGCUACAUUGAAAAAGUGACAAGGGAAGUGAAACCUACCCACAGUGCACUGUCAUUGACUCUUGUAUAUCAAAAGAAUCAUUUCUUUGCUUUAGAGAUGGAUAUCCACUAAAGUCAGAGCCCCCAUGCGGUUCACUUUUGAUUGGAUUUUCAUCAUGAACAUAUGUCAAAUUACGAAGCACUGGAAAUACUGAUGGGUAGCUUGGCAUGCUAGCUAAGGCCUGAUCCACAGGGAGGUAACAUACCGGACAUGCUGAAAAAGGGUUGAGCAAGAAUUGAAUCAGUAGCAAGAUAAUGACACAUAUACUAGAUAUGCACACAUUGACACUUGCAUGACAAGAUGAGAAAACGUUAUUUCAUUCUUAUGAUUAUGCACGGAUCAAUUUAUUUUGGUACAAGAGUUAUUAUGAUUUAAAAAAGAACAUAAUGAAUAAUCCAAUGGCUUUCUGGUGAUAUCUUAUGUUAUUAUUAAACAAAUAUGUUUGCUUCUAUCUAAAACUACUGCUUUAAUGCAUUCACGUGAAAAACAUUAACACAAUUACAUUGAAGGCCAUCUUCCAAUUUUAAAUGCAAUUCCAAAUAAUGAGAACAAGAAGAUUGAACUCAAGCUUACGUCGAGGUCCAAUCCGUCUGAGAGAAGGUGGAGGGGGAGGAGGAAAUGUGAAAUUUGCACAUGGAUGGUGCAAUGGCAAAAUGCUUGCACCUUUAGAAGGAGAAACUGAAAAUCUAUUUCUAUCACCUCCUUUAAGAUUGUUUGCCAUAGAAUACUGUUCAUAUUUCUGCUUCCUUCCAAGAAUACUUGAAGCUCCUGGAUUUCCUGGGGCACCAUUGACAAAAGGAACCAUGCCCAGAAUUCCAGUCCGUUGAUCAACAUUUGACCUAGUGCUUUCUAGUUCAUUAAUCAUACAGAAAGCAAACCAGAAAAGAUCAAAUUACCAUGCUGAGAACAAAAAGUUACAGAUUCAUUACAUUAACCAGUAAAUGAUGCCAGUAAAAGACUAAAUAAAGAAGAAAUAUGUAAACUGAUGCCUAUUCUACCUAUAGAAUUAAAGUUUAAUGCUCUAACAAUCAGGAUCCAAGAAUCAAGUUAGAACCUAGAACCCAAAGUAACAAAAAAGGAACAAACCUUUGUUGACUACAAAAGAACCCAAGACAAAGACCAAAAGAGCAAAGGCAACCAGAAGCAGCAUGGAAACCUUCCGACGACCUAGAUACCGGCACCAAACAUAGGGGAGAGACCUCUCCUUUUCCCUAGAACCUGAAAUCAUCUUGGUUGAACUCUUCCGUAAAAUACCCAAAGAUUUAGAGUGCAAUAAUCUUCCACCAACAGCAAUAACACCAUUGGUGUUCUGCAAUGACCCAUAACUCCCUGUACGUAGACCCAAUGACCCUCCAGUCAUUGUAUCUCAAAUCCAACCCCAAGUUUCUCACUCAUUUCCUUUCACCCUCUCAUUCACUCAUAACCACCCCACAAAACUUCUCUCUCCAAAAAACUGUACAAGAAAGAUUUUUUUUUUUUUUUUUGCUAUGGCAAUUUGGAAGCAAAGCCAAUCACCCAAUUCUCCAUUUUAGACAAAUAAUACUGUGAAUAUUGGCCAAUAAAUCAAACCUCUAUAAUGCAUAUCAACAGAUAUACCAAUAAGACAGUUCUCCAAAGCUCUUCAUUCUUCAAAUUGUUCCCAAAAUCUAAUGUGAUUGACUUCUGUUAACACACAGAUUAAAAAAAACAGAAAGUCAGAUAUCUUUUUCUCCAAAACACUUCAGACAAAGAUUAUAACUUUUUUCAUAUAUGUCAGAUUUCAGAACAAAAACCAUUGACCAAUUCUUCAUCUUUUUUACAUUGCAAAAGAUUGAGAUUGCUGUAGCGCCUCUAAAAUCAAACCUCCAAUCAUGAAAAUACACAAACUAAUCGCCAAAUUAAAGUAAAAUUGUUCCUUUAACCAAUGUGAUUGAAUUCUGCAAAGAAAAACUACAAAAAUAUGGCAAGAAUUGAAACUUUUUUCCACAUCAAGCCUUAAAAUAACCAAAAAAAAACUAUGAUUCAAUUUCUCUUAACUUGAUCUCAGAAACCAAUGUGAUUGAAUUCUAUUAACCCAACCAAAGAAAAAAGAAAGAAAUUAUCAAACAUAGAGACAUAAAAAUUUGGCAUUGAAAACUAAAACCCAGUUUUGAAUUUCAUUAAACUUGAUCUCAAUAACCAAAGUGAUUCAAUUUAUUAACAAAUAUCCCAAAAAAAAAUCCCUUAAAAAAAAUUGGGUCUUUAUCUGUGAAAUGAGAGGAUAAUCGAUAAGACCCAAAACCAAAAAUAAAAAAAAUGUAAUCACAGUUUAAAUGAAAUAACUCAAUUUUCAGGAGUUCAAACCCAAUCACAAAUCAUACCCCACAAAAUGAAAAAAAAAAAAAAAAAAAAAGAAAUAAUUUGGUAAAAAAUGUAUGGAAAACUACUUACCUUUAAGAAAAUGUAGGUCACUGUUCUUUUUUUUUUUUCUUUCCUUUUCGCUUCUUUGAUUUUCCUGUGGAAUACUUUUGAGUUUUUUUUUUUUUUUUUUCUGAUGGUGAUUGUUUUGGUAACUGGAAAAAUGAAAAUAACAGAUUUGAUUUUCUUUUUUAUUUGUAAAGUAAAUAAGAUCUCGAGAGACAAAUGUGACAAAUGUCGUUUCUUUUUGGACAACAACAAUUCAAUUUUAUCUUACGUGGAUAAUCUGCCCGGACAGGGAGCAAUCCGAUGCAAAUGCUCCUAUUUUAUUGUGAUGAAGAUACUAGCUGGCUUAUCGCUAUUGGUUAAUGUAAAACUUUUGUUUUUUUGCCAACAUAGAACUUGAUAAUUUAACAAAUAAAAAUUCCUUUGAGUCUGAUUUUUAUCAAUCAAAUUUUCUUUAAAUUUGACAAUAUUUUAUUUAUAAAUUAUUAUUUAAAUAAAAUUUUAAAAAUAUUUUUCAAAACUUAAAUAAAAUAGCUUUAAGAAUAUAUCAGUUUUAAUAAAUCAAAUAUGUUAAAUGAUUAAAAUUAGAAGUGAAAAAAAAAACAUAAAAAUCAUUCAAUUUUAAUUUUUUUAAUUAUCAAUAAAAUAAGUAAUUUGUUUUUUUUUUUCCGUCAAACCCUCGUGGUGGCAAGGGAGGAGGAAUGCAUUCCAUGCUCGAGACAGUAAGCAACUUUUGGUGAAGAGGUUCGAUUUUUAUUUGUUUAUAUUUGUAUAUUAAAUUUAAUAAAUAAUUAUAAAUAAUUUUUUUUAAAUUAAUUAAUUAAAUUAAUAGUUUAUCAACAUAAUAAAAUUUAUUUAUAUUUAAUUCUUUUAUAUUUGAAAGUGUGAACGAACAAAGCAUUUGAGGAAUAAUUUAUGAAUAAACUCAAUUUUUAUUCAUUGAUAUAUUUUAAUAAAUGAUUAUAAAUAAUAUUUUAAAAUUUAUUUUUAAACAAAUAAAUCACAAAACAUAACAAAAUUUAUUUAUAUUAUAUUUGUUUACUUUCUUACUCCCUUGGUUGACAUCUAAGGAUUGAAGAUCUACCCAAAAUUGUUGGGUUAUAAUCUGACCUAAUAAUAUUAUUUUUUAAAAUUAAGUUUCGGGUUAAGUUGAUUUUUUCUUUUUCUUUUAAAUUCAAAUCAGGUUAAAAUUAUGUUUUAAGUAAAUCCACCUCAACCCAACUUGAUAUAUAUAAAUAUAAAAUAUUUGAUUAUUUACUCAAUUUUAUAUUUAUAUAUAUUAUAUUAAUUUUAAUACUUUAAUUUAAUAUAUUAAUUUAAUAAAAAUAUUAUAUUUAUGUAUAAUUAAAAUAAAUUUAUAUUAAAAAUAAUAUUUUAUGAAUAUUAUGUUAAAUUAAAAUUAUUAAAUUAAUUUUAAAUCAAUUAUAAUUUUAUAUAUAUACAAGUCAAAAUUAAAUAUAAAAAAUAAUACUUUAAUAUCGAAUCGAAACUAAAAUUGAGUAUAUAUUUUAUAAAAUUAGAUGGAAGUUGAAACGAGUAAAAAUUAAUCUGGAUCUGAUGAUGUCCCUUUAACGACAUCUUUAGAAACUAUAAUAUAUAUAUUACAGUAUUUUGAGAAAAAAAAUUGCAAAGGUAAUAAUUUCCCUCAAUUCUCUUUUUAAUAAAUCCAAUUCACAUUUUGUUAUAUUAAAAUGCUUAUGGCACUUAUAAUAAAUAAUAGAAAUGGAGAAAAUGAUGGAUAAGAAGAAAGUUGUGGCAUGUAAUUAUAUGUAGCAACUAACAAGACAAACAUUGCUAUUGGUAAUUAAGACAAUCAUGGAUGGUAAUAGGAUAAGAAUGAACUUAAUGAUAAUUGAAAAUGUCAUGUGAAAUAGAUUUAUUAAUUUGUUUAAUAUGAUUGGGAAAAAAAAAAAAAAAGCUGAGACAAGAACAUAAUUUUUUAUUUCAAUUCCUUCAAAUUUAAAAAGAUAAUAAGAAAAAGUUAUAGAUAAAACAUUUGAUAUUAGUUUGUCUUUUUUUUUUUUUUUACUUUUUUAAUAUGGAUGUCCUAGAUUUCUUGUUUUAGGAAGCAAAGGUCCUAAACCUUUUCUCUUUAUUUUUAUGCAAAUUUUCAUAAUUAAUUUAAUUCAAAAAAAAAAUUUUAUUUCAUUUUUAUGUUGUAAAAAUUUUUACCCCAAAAGGUUCUAAAGAUUAGUUAUUAAUGAUGAACAUUUAAUAGGCUAAUUGAUUUCUUAUGUGGUAUAAAUAAAUUUCAUAUUUUAAUAUAAUAAGAUAAUUCAAUUUUAAAUAUGCUUUCAUUUUCUAUUAUUCAAACAACUAAUCAUAUUAACAAUAUUUUUAUUCUAAAAAAAAUAUAUUUCUAAUCCUAUUCUCACUCAAUUAAUAUUUAUACAAAUAGUUAUUUCAUAUCCAUCUCAAUGCUUACCUAUUUUCAAAUUGCAUUUGAUAUAUUUCUCUUAUUUUGAUAAAUAAUUUAUAUAAAUUUAGUAUUUUCAACUCCUAUUUUGAGUAAAUAAGGGUAGUUUAAAUAUUUUUCUUGAAGUUAAUUAAGUUAUAUUAUAUAGAUAUGAAGUAUAUAAUAGUGGGUAGCCUUUAAUCACUCUUUGGAAUAGGGUAAAUUAUUUUUAGUGAAAUUGUUAUAACUCUUUUCUUUUUUUUUUCAAAUUAAACAAGAUUAUUAAGGAAGGAAUAAAUGGUUUUUUUAUUUAUGAAAUUGUUUCUUUUUUUACAUUAAAUGGAAUUUUCUUUAUAGAAUUUAUUAUUAGUGAAAUUAUUCAAUCUAUUGUCAAUGAAGUUUUUAUAUUUCAAAUUAAGUUUUUAUAGAAAGCACGUGAAAGGCUUUUGUGUAUUAUUUUCUCAAAUGUUUCACAAAAUCUCUUUUCUUUUCAUUUUUCCCUUUAAGGUAAUAUUUGAUAUUAUUUUUUAGAUUAACACGGUGACUAAUUACCAUGAUGAUAAAAUCACCAAAUUAAUUUGAUUAUUAGUGAUUUUAGAUUAUUAUAUUUGAUAUAAUAUUAUAAAUCACUAUAUUUGGUAUUUUAUGAAAAAACAAAUCAUAUAGUAAAAAAAAAAUCCAAAAUAACCUUACAAAAAAGUAAAAUAUUUAAUUAUUAUUGAAUCAAUAAUUUAUAAAAAUAAUUAAACUUUAUUCUAUAGAAAACUAUAAAAUAUAAAUCAAUUUUAAUAAAAAUGAUUUCUAAAAAUUUAUUAAAUAAAUUCAUAUAUUUUUUCUAAUCAUUAUAAAUUUAUAACAUAAAAUCUUUUUAGAAUAAGUGAUUAAAAAAAAUUGUUUUUUUAAGUUUUUAGUAGCUAGCUUAUUGGGAUAAUAUAAAAUAAUAAUAUAAACAUACCUUAUGGUGUAUAUUUAAAAAUAUAAAAUAAUAGGACACGUGUCACUUUAUUAGUUUUGUUUAUAAAAGUAAAAAAAUUCUAUUGAUAAUAUAUUAAAUAAUUUCUCUAACUAAAAACCCUUUUUUCAAAGAGCAAAUUCAUUAUCACUAAUUUUCAUACCUUACCAUCCAAAAAAUGAGAAAUAUUCUAAUCAAUAACUUAACUUUUCAAAUACAUUUUCAAUCUUCCUUUCCAAAUGAGAGAAGCCAAUGGCCCCUCAAUCCUUUGCACAAUUCCUAAAAAUUUCCCCGUAAAAUAAUGGAAUUGGUAACUAAGAUAUAAAUCGGAAAGGCCUUAAUCAUGGGAAGCUUUAACGAAUGUUGAAUUGAAUGGCGACAUGGUCAACACAGAAGGCGAAAUUGUGGUCCAAACAAUCUUUGAGUUUUAAAAUGGGCCCCAAGUGUUUGUUCAAUUGUCUCAUCGAAAGAGGACAUAGCCAUAAAUUUCACAUGCGCAUAAUCAUAUGGAUAAAACUAUUUGUAAUUUAAUAUAUUUGGACAGAGCAAGCUUCUUCUAAUUUUUUUUUUUUUUUAAAAAGGUUGGCGGGUGUUUUUGAGCGAAACACAACAUUGUAGAAGCACAUGAUUUGCAUUGGAUCCAUGUGAGUUGGUUCUUCGGCUAUUUUUGUUCUAGCAUCUUGUUUUUGUCUUUUAUUGAAUCUUGAAUUCCAAUGUUUAAACAAAAAUAGACAACAAAUUAGAAUUACCAAUGAUAUCAUGUUAAUAAAUUUUAUUACGACAACUUUUGAAACAUAAAAUUUCUAUUCGUUUUUUUUUUUUUUUAAAGUAAUCUACAGAUAUGAAAAGAGAUUAUAAUAGAGAUGGAUCCAUGCUUUGAACUAAGGUAUCCAUGAUUGAAAAAUAAAAAAAUUCGAUUUUUUUUUCUUAAACACUUAAAAAUUUUCUAUGGACACCUAAAAAAUGUUUUAUGGACAUUAUUUUCUUUGACAAAAUUAAUAAAUUUAUCAAUAAUUUUAUAUAUUAUAAACAAAUAUUUUUGAAAAAAAAUCAUGAAUUCAUCUAUGAAUUAUAGGUAUUAAAAUUUAAUAUUUAGAUAUGUUAAAUGUUACUUUUUAAAAAAGAUUGUAUAAAUCAAAAAAACUAAAUUUUGAAUUCAAUAUUUAUUAGAAUUUGAACUAUCCAAAGAAGUUUUCCUAAUCCCACAAGCUUACAUAUAAGUUUUCUCCUAAGCAUAUUCUAUCCAUAUCCAUAUGAUAAAAUAAACUUUACCAUCAUUUCCUAAUACAUUUCAAUGUGAGAUUCUUAAGUUGAAAACUAUAAAGUUUUAAGCAUUAUAUAAGGACAUUUUGAGAACUAUAGAGACUCGAAUUCAAUCUGCGAGAUAUUAUCCAUUUUAAUUUUAAGGUCUCAUUGUUUUGUUUCAUAAAAAGUACCUCACAGAUUUGAAUUUAAAUUUCUCUAUGUAUAUUAUAUCAUAUUCACACAUUACAUUAUUUCAACAUGAAAUUGGAGGUACUAUAAUCUCCCUACUUUUAAAAUUUAAUGUCCAUGUUAAAUCGAAUUUAACAACAAAAUUAAGAUCACACCAAACGUUAAGAUUCUAAAUGUGGUUUCUCAUUGUGUGACACUUAGUAACUCUCACGGCUCUAUCGUAUAGCACUUAGUGACUCCCAUUAUGUAGCACUUAAUUUUCGUUGACUGGUGACCACUUUGAUAUCAUCUAUGAAUACACAUACCCAACCUACGAGAUACUGUCUAUUUUGAUUCGAAGGUUUUACGGUUUUGUUUCACAAAAAAACGUUUUAUAAAUUUAGGUUUAGAUCUCUACAUAUAUAUCAUAUCACAUCCACACAUUCUUUCAAUAUGAGAUUGAGAGCGUUAUAAUAAUUUAUGUAAAAUAUCAAUGAUUUAGAAACUUAAGAUGUUAAGGUUAUAUUUGGUGUAUAAGAUAAUUGAUAAAAUAAAAUGGUAAUCAUUUUAUAUUAUAUUUGAUUUGUAUAUAAAGAAAAUGAUAGAAUUAGAAGGAAUAUUAUUAUUCUAUUGGUAUAAGAUUAUUUAAUAAUUUCAAACUGGAGAGAAUUAUUUUUAAUUUAUGAAAUUAGAUUUACAUAUUCUAUGAUAUUAUUAAAAAUUAUAUCAAUAAUUUAAAUUAUAUAAAUUUUAAAAAAAUAUUUUUGAUUAAUAGAUAAAUUAUCUUAUCAUAAUCUCUUAUACACAUCAAAUAUAAAAUAAAAUAAUAUUAUUUAAUUUUAUUUUAUUUAUAAUAUUAUUUUAUCUUAUCUUAUCAUAAUCUUCUAUUCUAAACAUAACAUAAAUGCUUAAGUUGGCCCUUUUUUUAAUAUAUAUAUUUUUUAAUUUGUGAUAUUCAAUACCCAACAAUUCCAACUCCAUCUAACAAAUGUGAUGAUUAAAGUUACGAUAAGCCUUUUUAUUUAGUUCCCAAUUUGUUACUAUUUUUUCCCAAAAAUCAACAUCGGUAAUACUACAAAAUUGAUUAUUCAAUUGAACUUAAAAUUUAUUUUAAUUGAUUUAUAUAAUUAUGUUUUAAAAAAUAUUAUCUAAUAAAUUUAAAAUUUAAAUUUAAAUACCUAUAAUUUUUUAAUUUAUUUUUAGAUUAUAACCUUAUUUGUGUCAAAUUUUAAUAUUCAAUUUGAAUCAUCAGUUUUAAUAUAUAGCGUACAUUUAGUUAGGAUUAUGCAAUAAAAAAUAUAAAAUUAAUCUUAACAACAUAAAAAUAAAGUUGAUCAUGAUAAUUUAUAAAUUUGGUGAUUCGUAUAUUUAUGUUAAAUAAAAUAUUAAAAUUUUUUAUAUUCAUAUUAUGUUUUACAUAAAAAUUACAUGUUAUAAUUAAUAUUAAUUCUAAAAUAUAAAAUAUAAUUUUUUUAUUUUAUUAAACAUAUAUAAAAUUAUUAUUAUAAUUUUAAGUCCUGUCACUUUUAUAUUUUAUUUUUAUAUCAUAUUUAUAUAUAUUAUAUUUUAAAUUAUUAAAUUUAUAAUUUAAUCCAUAAAAAAUGUACUUUUUUUAUUCUUAAGCUAAGAUUUCGACAAACUGAUAUCUCAAAGUUACUUAAAAUAGGUCAAAAUUAGAAAAUGAUACACCAAUGUCAAUUCUUGAUUAUGAUAAAAUUGUUUAUAUGUUCGGAAAAUGCAGAGUAUACUAGUAAAUAUGAUUUGAUUAGUGAUACGCAAAUUUGACCACCUGAUGAAGAGUGGACGAUGAUGAUAUCAUUGAAAAUUGAUUUGGAAAGUGGGACCCAACAAAAUGGGACAAAAAAGUUCUAAUUUAGUAUAGUGUGAGUGAAGUGGAUGGUAAUUCUGUCACCUAACAAGUCUUUAUGAUGUAAACUGAUAAAAGCUAUGGAAAAGCUCAUGACCUUGUCUCAACUUUUUCUUACUGUCUUAAUCCAAAGUAGUUUGAACAAUUCCACGCGCUCUCUCAGCGAGUGAAAAUAUGCAAACUUUGUUAUAACUAAAAACUAUAUUUGUAUAUUUAUCUCAAAUAUAUAUAGAAUAUAAAUAUUAUUAUAUUAAAAUUUAUGUAGUUAAUUGGUAAAAAUUUAUGUUACGAAUAAUUUUUAAAUUAUAAUAAAAUAUUUAAUAUAAUAUUUAAAUUUUAAAAAAUUUUGAUGUGAUAUUUAAAAUAUAAAUUUAUUAAUUAUAUUCACCCUUAUCACAAUUAAUUUUAAAUGAUAAUAUAUGAUAAAUAUUACUUAAGUUAAUAAAUUUAUUAUUCGAGUAUCAUAUUAAAAAUUUUUAAAAUUUAAAUAUUAUAUUAAUUAUUUUAUUAUAAUUAAAAAAUUAUUCAUGAUAUUAAUUUUUUAAAAUUGAUUGUACAUGAAAAUAUAUAAUUUUUUAUCAUCUAUUUGCAUUCAAUUAUAUAUACCAAUAUUACAUCCAUUGCAAAAAAUUUUAAUAAAUGAAAAAGAAAAAAUGUUGCUUGAUGUUUUUAUCUUUAGGUUUUUUAAAUGAUUUAUUAUUUUAAGAGUUAUUUUAUUUUCUUGGUUUGAAAUUUUUUAGUAUUUGAUAAUCAUUUUAAGUCUUGAUUAAUUCAAAAUCAAAUUAGAUUGAACUCUAUAAAGAAAGCAAGCUCUCUCAAUUUUUUUUAUUUAUAAGAUUCGAAAUCGAAAUCUUACUUAAGAGAAAUCGAAUUCCUUACUACUCGAAUCAAUAAGCAUUGAUAAAAUUAUUUUAUUUUUUUUAUUUAUAUAAAAGUUUUAGGUAAACAUUUAAAAUUUAAAAAUUUAUUGCUUUUUUUAUCAUUAAUUACUUAAUUCAAUGACAACCUUUUAAGCAUUCAUUAGGAUACCGAAAUAUUAAAAAUAUUACUAUUUUCUUUUCACAACUAAUUAUUAAUUUAUAUCAUUCAUUUAAAACAAUCAUAAAAUCCAAAAAGCAGAUCAUUAUUAGAUAGAAAAAGAAAAGAAGUAAAAAGUUAUCAUUGCUUUUGGUUUGCUUCUUACCCUAAAAAAAAUUAUUCCCUCAAUAAUAAAUAAAAUAAAAUAAAAAAGGUUGCAAGUGUUUAAUAAUAUCGGUUAAAGUGGCAUUUAAGAAAAAAAAUAUAAUUAAUGCAGUAGCUUUUAAAUUUCAAUAAUAGAUAAUGUAUUAAAUAUAAAUAUUUUUUUGAUAAAAAAAUUUAAAAAUAGAUAAAUUAUUUAGUUUUUUAAAUUAAAAUAAGAUAUAUCAUAUCUAAUAAUUUAAGAUAGAUAUUACAAAUCAUAUAUUUAAUAUGAUCUUAAUAUGUAUAUAUCUUAUUUAACAACUUAAAAUAAAUGAUUACAGAUCGUAUAUUUGAUAUGAUCUCAAUAAAUGAUUAUCAAUAAAAUUUAAAUUUAAUAUUUUUUAUUAAAAAAAAUAAAUUUUAAUUGAUUGAAUCAAUUAUUUGAUAAAUAUAAAUAUUUUUUAAAUAAUAUUUGAAGUAUCUCCGACCAAAAUUUAUAAAUAAAAAUUGCCCAUUAAUAAGGUUCUGCAUGAUCAGAAACUCUUCCAUUUAUAAAGCGCGUGGGAUAAUCAAACACAUGAAGAAUGUCUUUUUUCACAUUGUUUUUCACAAACCCUAAAUCCAAUAUUAAAUACACACCGUUAAAUAUUAUUAUCAAUAAAUUAUUGCCUCCCACCCCCACCCCAAAUAUCAUUAAUUUCACACAACCUAAAAAAUUCUCUAUGAAAAAAAGAAAAAAACCUCUCAAAAUACCAAAAAUUUUUUUUUUCUUGUUUUGCCUCUUUAGAUCCAUUCUCUUUCUCUUCCCAUUUUGACCGUCAAAACCUAGAUCACCUAAUCCUCUCUAGGGUUGUCAGAGUUGCAGACUUUUUUUUUUACUGCAAAGGAACAAGCUUUUCCUUAUACUUGAAAAAACAAAAGAAGAUUUUCAGUGGUUUUUUUUUUUUCGUUUUUGAAGCUUUUAGGUUGUUUAAAAUUGUGGGUCUUGAAUAAUUAGAUUGGAUAAGUAGAGUAGAAGAAAAUUUGAGUGUAUAAAGAACUAUCAUUUUCAAGGGUGGUAUUGAAUUUGAAUUAGUUUGCUUAUCUUGGAAGGUUGCUUUUGGAAGUGAUUCUUUUUUAGUUUUUGUAAAGGUUGUAGUUUUGUUGAGUUUUCAGGAGCAAUGGGCCCUUACAUAUGUUCAUUUCGCUUAAAUGUUGUUGAAGAAAUGGGAUCUUGAAUAGAUUGGUUAAUUGCAUUGAAUAUUUGGUUUUUAGUAAAGUCUGUAGCUUUAUUGUGUGUGAGUGUGUGUGUUUUUUUAUUUUUUUUAAGAAAAAUGGGUUCUUGGUUAUACGACUGGUGAAGAAAUGGGAUUUUUUAUUAUGUUUGAAUUUGGAUGGAAUAUUGGGAUUUUAGUUUUUAGUUGAGUUUUUAAGCUUUUUGAGUGUGAUGGGAAUGGAUGAGGAGGAUAAUGUUGGAAAAAUAGAAUUUCUGAAGGAACGAAGGGUAGUUAGUCUCUUUAGAAGAACUUAAGAAGGUUUUGUUGAGGGGUAGUUUUGGUGUAUGAUGGGUUGCAUUUGUUGUAAGCCUUCUGCUAUUGAAGAUAGUAAAGAUAGUCCUAGAGAGAGGCCUUCGAUUAAAGCCUCAUCAGAUGUGAGGGUAUCAAGGGCUACUUCUUCGAGGAGGGAGGAAGCAUAUAGAGCAAAGGAUCGGUAUGAUAAAAAUGAAGGGAGGAUAAUGUUGAUCGAUAAACAAGUGAAUGGUUCGGUUCAGUUGCAUGAUGAGAAUUUGGAUAGGAAGAGGGAGAAGAUGGAGUAUGUUGUUAGUCAACAACCAGGGAUGGGUAGUGUUCCGAAAGCUGCGGAAGGAGAGCAGGUGGCUGCAGGAUGGCCUGCUUGGUUAGCUGCAGUAGCAGGAGAAGCAAUCAGGGGAUGGGUACCACGGCGUGCAGACUCAUUUGAGAAGCUGGAUAAAGUAAUUAUGCUUGUACUUAAUUUAGUUCUUUGGUUACAAUGUUGCUUGUAUAUGCUUGAUCCUCAUGUUGCCGAUAGCAUUUGUAAUUUCUUUAUUUGACUUAUCUGUUCAUUUUUAGUAGUUCCCUGUUGGUUUCUGGAUUGAUCGUUGGGAUUCACCUUUGUGCUACUAUAUUGGAAUCUUAGUUCCUUGUAAUCCAUUUCGACAUCUGUUAACAAUUCUAAAAUAUGAUGUCAUAAUUCAUAAUUCCUAAGCCACUAGCCAAUAGUUUUAGUAGUUUACAUUACAAAGUUAUCUUCAUUCUCAGGUAUGACAAUGCUAUACUGGGACCUCUGUCGUUGGGUCUCUAUUCUUGGACACAAAAGUUUCUCCACCUUGUCGAGUAUUAAUGCAGUGGUUUGAUUGUAAAGUGUAUCCAUCUUGACUUUUCUAUUUGUUUUCUACCUUAAAUGACCCCGAACCAUGCUCAUCUAGCCCUAAAUCUAUCUCAAUAAAAUCAAAACAGUACCAAAUUACAGUUAAAAAGGAAAAUUCUCUCUAAAUCCAGUGACAUACCUUUAUUCAACAUUAUGGCAUCUUAACAUUUUAUUUUAUUUAUCCUCCAAUCUCCUGCCUUGUUCCUUUGGUCCUUCACUCUCCUGCCCUGUUCGUUUUGGCCUUCAAUCACCAUACUUUUACUGACUUCUAGAUGUCUAAUUGUGAUAGAAAUUUAAGAGGGUAGACUUUUAGAAUUCAAUAUGUUUUGUUGAUUCUAUACUACCGGGGUUUAAUGUGGUUUCUCUUAUAUUAUAACCCAUCACUAUGCUUUAAAUUGACAGUUUCUUGCAGCUAGUAAUCACAUCUGUUACCUGAACUUAUAUUUCUGUGCAGAUUGGCCAGGGAACUUAUAGUAAUGUCUAUAGGGCUCGUGACAUAGAUCAGAAAAAAGUUGUUGCUCUGAAGAAAGUAAGAUUUGAUAACCUUGAGCCAGAGAGUGUUCGAUUUAUGGCAAGGGAAAUUCACAUUCUACGUAGACUUGAUCAUCCGAAUGUUAUAAAGCUGGAAGGUCUGGUUACCUCAAGGAUGUCUUGCAGCUUGUACCUUGUGUUUGAGUACAUGGAGCAUGAUUUGGCUGGUCUGGCUUCUCACCCUGGUCUGAAGUUUUCAGAAUCGCAGGUGCUCCUGAUUGUUUUGCCUUUUUCUUUUUUUUCUUAGCUGCAAUUUAAUCUUUCCAAAGUUUACUUGUUAGUGAGUAGUAGUCCAGAAUGGUGUUUACCAUAAAAGGUCUUCCAAACAUGGGAAUUACAUGAUGUUUCAUUUUUUAAAAAUUGCGAUCUUAAUAAGUAAAAAAAAUUCUGCAAAAACAGAAAUUUAUGUUUUGCAUUGAAGGGCUAUCCUGAAUUUAUUGCACUUUUCGGCAGGUUAAGUGCUACAUGCAGCAACUUUUGUGUGGUCUUGACCAUUGUCACAGCCGUGGUGUCCUACAUCGUGACAUAAAGGGUUCCAACCUUCUAAUUGACAAUAAUGGCAUCUUGAAGAUUGCUGACUUUGGCCUGGCUAGUUUUUAUGAUCCCCAUCAAAGUCAGCCCUUGACAAGCCGUGUUGUAACUCUUUGGUAUAGACCACCGGAGCUUUUACUUGGAGCCACUUACUAUGGUACUGCUGUAGAUUUAUGGAGUACUGGUUGCAUACUUGCUGAGUUAUAUGCUGGCAAGCCUAUUAUGCCUGGAAGAACUGAGGUGUGCUUUUUUUUUUUUUAAUCAAAUGAAAGGUCUCCUGCUAAGCAUUUAGAGUUCUAAGCAGAAACUUUAUUGUGUAAUGCGAGAUGCAUAACAUUAUUUUAUUGACAUAAUUGUAAUAUGUGGUUGUUAGAGCUUCAAAUUGUAUAUCUGUCUAGCAUUUAUCAUACAAAUGAAACUAAUUUUACCGAGGUACCGAUUGAGGCCAAAACAUCUGUCCCCCAAUUGGGGUUUUUCACGAAGAUUUAGGCUUAAAUCAGCCCAAAGCAAGCUGUUGCUAUUUAAAUAGGCAAGAGUGUUCAGUGAGUAUAGACUCUAUUAUCUUGAAAGCUAACUUAAUUGAGCUGACUUGUAUGUUUGAAAUUUAUUUUGGGAUCUUUUUGGGCAGGUCCAGGGUCAAUGAUGGGAUAGCCAAAAGCAAAUUGUUGGAAUAUGCAAAAAUCUUUGGUGAAAUAUAACAUCUGAAUGAAAUCUUGAGGGGCAUGGUGAAGUAUGUGUGUGUGUGUGUGAGAGGGAGAAGACUAUUGCAGAAAGUGCAAUUGAUAUGCGAUACUUAAUAGCGGAGGAACACUUUUUCCACUACCUUUUUUUACAUUCUGACUGCUGACCAGAAGAGUGUGCUUAAUAGUGAGAGGACUUUUUAAUUUGCUUUUAGAUCUGUCACCAGCACCACUGGUUAAAAGUUCUCAGAGAUUUCUUGAUUGGUUCAAAAAUUUAUGUUGGUCCCUCAAAGUGCCAAACUACUGCAUAUCUAAUCCAAUUGUGCUACUAAUGGGAUUAUUAGGGAGUUGAGGGUUCUUAUAGGUGUAGUUUGUUUGACAUGUCCCUAAAAUAGCGUGUUUCUAAGCUGGGAAGCUGGUUUUGGAGAUAGCUUUGAUGUGGUAUUGACUUUUAUUUUUUAGGCAGACCCUUUAUUUAUACUUCUUAGCACUUUAAUUCCUUUUACUGUUUUUCGAGAUUUUGUUUUGUUUUAAUUCUUUUGAAGGUGCCUCUGAUCUAAUUGCUCAUGAGAAUUGAUUUCAAUGAGAGAUAUAAUGUAACAUAUGAUAGAAUGCACUGAAGUGAUUUUUUAAGCAGCUGUAUUUGUUAAUACACUAUGUGUUAUAUGCGCUUCUCUCUUCCUGUAAUACUAAUAACUUUUAUGCAUAUUUGUUCCAAUAAAUUUGACUGGUGGUAUACCCUGCCUGUAUGACCAUCAGACCAUUAAAAUACUGUUAAUGUGAACUUUGAAAGCAAGACCCAGUUGAUGGUUGUUGGAUCUCAACUUUAGCAUUAUCUCAUUUUUAAUUUGGAAUUUGUUUGUGGCUACCUGAGAUAGUUAUUAAGUUAUAUUGAAUUAUGCUUCUUAUAUUAAGUUAUCUUGAAUUAUGCUUCGUCUAUUAAGUUAUCUUGAAUUAUGCUUUGUCUCCUUUGUCUUGUUUGUGGCAAUCUGACAUGGUUUGGUGACACUGUCAAAAUAGAAAGGUUUGGUUGUGAAAUUAAAUGAUUGAGGUCUGUGUCUUUCUGCUUUGUAGGUGGAACAGUUGCAUAAAAUUUUCAAACUUUGUGGCUCACCUUCUGAAGACUAUUGGAGAAAAUCGAAGUUGCCUCAUGCAACCAUUUUUAAGCCCCAACAGCCUUAUAGAGGCUGUGUUGCAGAAACAUUUAAGGAAUUCCCUGCACCAGCUUUAGCACUUAUGGAGACCUUACUUUCCAUUAACCCUGCUGAUCGUGGAUCUGCAGCGUCUGCUCUCAAUAGUGAGGUAUGAUGUUUUUAAGAAAUUAUGUUUUAUUAAAAUUUUAGGCUAUUAUAAUCCAUGCAUGUCUGCAAGCAUGUCUAUUCUUUCUAUAUCCUUCAGAGGGGUGGUGCCCCUGGGUGAAUGUUGGUAAUGAAGGUUUUUUUUUUUUUUUUUGCAAAAUAACUUGGUUAUUUUAGCAAGAUGACAUGAAACCAAUGCUUAUAUUUAGCUCUUUUGCUUUUUCAAUUAUAUUCUUUUUUAGGAAUUUUGUCAUUGUUGCUAAAAGUAUUUUAAGGGAACAUGAGUUUCAUUCAGAGGGGACACAUUCUAGUAUCUAAAGACUAGUUGCAGAUAUAAUUUGUAUGACAAUUGGAUAGAACUUUGUUCUAGUAUAUUUCAUUCAUUCAGGAUAAAUUCCAAUGGUAUUUAUCAGCAUUAUUGCUGUGUGUUUAGCAGUCUGUUGUCAUGGUUAAGCAUCAUGUACUAACAUGAGCCUCCAUGUCUGGCUGUUAGAUUGUGUUUGGUAUGGGGUUAUCUUUCCAAAAACCAUGGUGAUCUGUACAUGGUGAUUAAAUCAUCAUAUUUGGUAAACACUUGGGGAUUCUACGUGGCAGUGAUCUUGGAUAUCAUUGAGAGUGAUUAGAUCACUAUCUUGAAGGAUAAUCUAAUUCCCAUCCAAAAAGGUGGGAAACUUUUAUCACCGAGGUAAAUUGAUUUAUAAAAUUAGUAAUAGUCAAUAUUUCCCAUUUAAUAUGUGAAUUAAAAAUUUGAUUCCUCUUAAAAUUUUAAUUAUUUUAUAUUAUAAAAUUUUAUUUUCAAACUAAUAUUCAUUAAUAACAAGUUCAAAAAUAAUUUGUAUAUUUUUUUACUUCUUCUAGUGUUUUAUAUAUAAUAUAAUGUCUUUAUUUUUUUAUUAUGAUUUUAAUAGAUUAGUUUUAUUUUCUAAUUCAAUGUAUUUUUACAUAAUUUAUAGUUAAAAAUUAGUUUACUUAAUAAAUAAAUAUAUUUAAUAAGUUAAUUAUAUUUAUUAUAAAAUAAAUAAAAUAUUGCUAUGUUUUAUGAAUUAUUAUUUUUAAACAACAUUUAAAUUAUUAACUUGUGUAAUUAUUAUAACAAGAAUGUUAUUCUUAUACUUUUAAAUAAAAUAAUAUUUGAUUUUUAGUAAUAUCAAACACAGUGAUCUUUAGUUCGUAUUAAUUAGUAAUUGUUAACCAAACAAAUUGAUUUCAUGUCACGAGUGAUAAGAUCACCUUGGUGAUUACAUUACCAUGGUAAUGUUGAAAAUGAUACCAAACGCUACCUUAAAGAGUUUGUGCCAAAGUUUAAAUAUGAAACUUGAAUGCCAAAACUCUUGGCUUGUGUUCAAUCCCGUGGUAUCUUGGGGUGCUAGAACAGCAGGGCUUUAUUCCCAUCUCAUAUAAGCCACUAUGACUUCAGAAUUAGUAUGCUGUAUGCAAUUUUCUAAAUUGUAGGAUGUACUUCUUUUAGUCUUAAAUCAUUUCAUUAUACUUUUCUGUUGUAAUUAUUUAUCAAUAUUGUCUAGUGUCCUUGACAUAUUUUUAUGUGUUUUACAGUUCUUUACAACUAAACCUCUUCCCUGUGAUCCAUCAAGCUUGCCAAAGUAUCCUCCAAGCAAAGAGUUUGAUGCAAAAAUAAGGGAUGACGAAGCUCGAAGGUGCAUAUUGUAUAUUUAAUCACAAUCAAAUAUUAAUCUUCUUAUAGUUUGUUUUUUGGGGGUACUUAUACUAAAUGAAAAAUCUCAUGCUUCUUAAGGAAUAUCUUCUUUGGACUCUUCGGAUACUUGUGAGGGAUUUACUUCCAAAGUAAAUUAAUUGCUUCAAAAGGAUCAUCCAAAAACUUGUAAUUUCAUGUCAGUCCAGCAAUCAAGCUAUUUGAUCUCUUUGGUCUUCAGCCUAUGCUGGACUGCUGUAAACGUAGCGUUUGCUUUUACUAGAUGAGCUAUUAUCAUCUUCUUUUUAUGUUCUGCCACUGCUUCCAUAAUGGCUUGAAAUCUUGAGUGGUUGGUAUAGGUGCUAAUAAACUAUGUUUGUUUGUAUUGGCAGACAAGGAGGAGCAGGAACCAAAGGCCAGAGACCUGAUCUUGACAGGAGAGCAACAAGAGAGUCUCGAGCCAUCCCUGCGCCUGAUGCUAACGCUGAACUAGCAUUGUCAAUGCAGGUAACUUAUGAUUUGGUUAAUAAUUUCCCAUUUCAUUUCUUUUUGCUGUACAUGUUUGGUGAUGGGCAUCCUUAACUAGCGAAUGCAUCAUGAUAUUGGUUUGUUGACGAAUGUCACAACCUGCUAUAUCAUUAAGGUUAAUGAGAUACAAAAACAGAAAAUUAAGCUUUCUUCGCUACAUAGGAUUGGUUUUUAAGCUUAAUGAUAUGGUAUUGUAGUUUGUUUUUAAUUUUUUUCUUCUUCGAUCAAUGGCAGGCUGUUAUAAACUUAUAAUAAACAAAUUGAACCCUGAAUCGUACCAAAAAAACUGAACCCUGAAAGGAAUUGAAGAUGACAAUAACAUAGGAAGCAGAAUCUAACAUCUGAUUCUAAAAAAAUCAUGAGUAAAAUCAAGGUGGGAGGGGGGGGAGGAAAUGAUAGCUAACUACUUGUAGGAACCUCAGUGAUUGAAGUCAAAGAUGAAUUCCUUGUUCUCUUCUCAAUUUGAAGGACUGCUAAUGCUGCAGUAAUGACCAAUCGAGCUGAUGCUUUGCCAUAUAAUGCAAUUAAUAUUGUUUGUCUUCUUUUUUUUUUUAUCAUUUUUUCCUCUUUUAGAACAGUUACAUUAAUUUGACAUUACUAACGUUGCUUUCACAUUCCAGAAAAGGCAAGGUCAAUCCAAUUCAAAGAGCCGGAGUGAGAAGUUUAAUCCUCAUCCUGAAGAAGUUGCCUCAGGCUUUCCUAUAGAUCCACCUAGGCCAUCGCAGGGAGUAGAAUCAAAUGCAGAUGUACAGGGGAAUCAUCACAAGCGAGCGUCCCAUUCAGGGCCACUGGCUCACCGAGCUGCAUGGGCAAAGUCUGCGAAAAACCUGGAUGAUGCUCCAAAACUUUCUACUGGGGCUGACUUGUCAAUGAUGUCAAGUUUAGUGGCAGCAAGGAGAAGUAAUCUUAUAUCUGAAGAUCUCAGAGAAAGAUCUGGUUCUUCACAAUCAGAAGCUCCAAGAAUGACUGCAAGAUUUCCGGGGUCAAUUAAGGAGGCCUCAGAAUCCUUCAUCCAACAGGAUCCGAAACAUAAUGUGCAGCAGAAAGAAGAUGGAAGAAGUAGCAACCAAGAUCCUGUUCUGGUAAGUAUUGAACCUGUUUUUUUCUGCCUUGAUGAUUGGUUGUCCUGAUCAAACUUUGUGCAGAGGAAGGCGUCAUUGUAUUAAACUGGGGUAUUUGUGAUAAUUUGUUGAUUCUUCUAUUUUGUUUUUCUCUGGUUUUUUCCAGUUUAACAUGCUUUUAGGUUUUUGGUUGCCUGCUAUUAACCUUUAUCCAUUUCAAGUAUCUGAUACAUGCUUCUCAAUGAUGGUUUCCAGCUUGGUUAUGGGUCAAAGGGGCACAAAAUUCACUAUUCUGGUCCCUUAAUAGUUCCAUCAGGCAACAUGGAUCAAAUUCUUAAGGAUCAUGAUCGCCAAAUCCAAGAAGCUGUUCGGCGAGCACGCCUUGAUAAGGCAAAGAUAAGAAAAGUUCAGUUAGAAGGGAACCAAAUAUCAACCAAUUCAUUUUUUGUUUCCGGUCGUUGAGCUAAAUUUUGUGAACAGCAAAUCAAGAUGAGCAUUAUCAAGACUCAAGAUGAUCACUGCAAAUAAUUUGGCUGCUGAUUCUCUUGCUAAAUAUGAUCCAGAGUUGUUGGGUGGAUUUUUUUUUUUUUUUUGUAUAGAUUGGUGUUUUUAGGAAUAUGGCUAGUGGGCAUAUUUGGCUUAGCUUAUAGCUUAUUGAGAAAUCUCUGUGUGAUUAAUCAUGUGUAUUUCUUUCCACUCGGCAACUGUAAUUUGCUAAGAUAUGACCCAUUCUUGUAGACCUUAUUAUUAGCCAUAAGUUAAAAGCAGAGAGAUCUGAGAUUAUUUAAUGUGAUGAAUGAAGCAAAAUCUAGCAUGUUUAUCAUUGCCCCUUGACAAGUAAAUAGCAUUAAUGUUAACCGAAGAAGAAAUUUUGCUUCAAGAGUAACUAGAAGCUUAAAUCGGUUUAUAGUCAAAUUUUAAAAGAUGAUAUUUGAUCUGUUUCUUUUUAUUUAUUUAUUUUCAAGCUACGAUUUCUUUUGAAAAGAAAAAAAACCAAGAAUGGACUGAUAUUUGUACCACAUGCGAACUCUUGUCAGCAGCCAUGUAUUAAGCAUGAUAACGUUCAAGCUCCAUUGUCUAUGUAUUUAUAUGUGUAUAUUUCAUAUGAUAUGAUAAUUCACGGUAGUCAAACUUGAAUGCAGUUCCUGCUUCCCCUUGAUAGAAAAUUAUGUACUUUUAUUUUUGUGUUCUAAAAUCGUCAAGUCUUUAGCAGCAUUGAAAAUGAAUUGUUCAUGCAGUUGAAUUCUAAGCUGUGGUUCGUGGCUAAGGCAUAUUGUUGGAGAGCUGCUUUCUCAUCAAGAUUGUCUUUUGGCCUCCUCCGCCUACCGGUUUUGACCAUCCAUUCCUUUGAACUCCCCAUUGAACAGUUUCCCUAGCAACCAUGUGCUUGGCAUUGACUUUGUAUUGUCAAAGAUCAACAAUCUGUCAGUUCUUUCAUUUCCUACAAUGCUGGACACUGGUUUGAUUUGAAGUAGAUAAAAAAAAAAUCACUUGACUGGUUGGUUUUUUCCAUUACUUGAAGUUGCAUGGAUGGAACAAAGUCAUCAACAACUCUAAAAGUAUAUGAAUUGUGGACACUCAGCUUACUGUCGCAAUGGUUCCUUCAGACAUGAAGAAGCCUAAAAGGGCUAAACUGAUGAACUGUAUCAGCCACCACUGCCCCAUUUGCUGCAAAUCAUCCAUGGCUUAUUUGGUUCAUUAAUUUCCUAUCAUAAUCCUAGGUCAUCAUCAUGUGCCCAUCUAUGUGAUUUUCAAGACAGCCAUAAUGGUCACAUGUCCAGGGUCAAAAUGCUAAAAUGAUAGUUCACCAUUUAUGUUGCUUCAGCAUCAAGGACCAUUGAAUCUACUUUCAUCAUAUACCUUGCAUCAAAAUCAUUUGUGAAUCUUGUAAAGUCUUAAAGAAAAAUAUGCUGGAUCCUGACUUAAGCAAAGAAAUUGCAUGAUUUUGAUUGAAUAAGAAGCUUUGAAUAUGUAAAAAAUCUAAACAUUAGAGCCUAAUUUAAGGAAAAAUUAUUAUAUAUAUCUAAGAAAAUCUUAAAUGCAACUUAACCACAUCAUUCAUACAUGUUAUACAUCAAAAACAUGACAUCUUUGGUUAAAAUAAUUGUUUCCAUUUCUUAGGGCUAGUCAAGAUUAUUUAAAAAUGUGACAAUUUUUUACUUAAUUCUUUGGUUUUUACUAUGAGCUACUUCGUCAAAAUAGCUACUUGUAUGGUAGCAUUUAAAACCUAUAUUGCUUUGAGAAAGUCAAAAGAAAAGAAAAGAAAAGAUGAUCUCUAAUCUCUUCCUCUACGUGACAAAAGUAGUAAGUGAUUUUUGGCAAUUUGAGUACAGGAUCUUCAAAUAUUAACUCGUGUGCUCAAUCUAUUAAUAAUUACCAAAAAAAUUUUUAGUUUAAGAGUGAUGAAGAAUUCCAGACGAAUUUUUGCCAAGCCAUGGCGGGUUUUCUAUCCCUGAUCAAUCCCAUAUAUUUGAAAUUAUGAAUUUGUCAAACUUUCAUGCUUAAUAAAUUAAGAGUAUAAUCGAUUGAAUUCAAAUCGAUAUAAUAAUAUUAAAUUUGAACUCGAUUUUAACUUUAAAUUUGAAAUUUAAAAUUUAAUUUUAGAUCAAUUUUUUUUUUAAAUUCAAACUCAAUUCAAGAUAAAAUUUGAAUUACUUAAACUCGUUUGAUUAUAUUUAAUUAACAUAUAAAAAUAAGUUUGAUUUUAUAUUUGAUAAAAAUUUAAUUAUUUAUAUUCAAAUUUAAAAUAUUUUAUUAAUUAAAAUAAUUAAAAUAUAAAAAUUUGAUUAAACUCAUAAAUAACUUAAACUAAAUAUAAAAAUAUUUAAAUACGAUUCGAUAUAAUUAAAUCAAAUUUAAAUUUUAUUUAAAUUAAAUCAAAUAAUUUAUAAAUAUUAAUAUAUAAUUAACACCCUUACACCAAGUAACAAUAACAUCCUAACGGUGAGGCCAGCCACCCUUGCUACUUUAGGGUUGUUUGUGUACACAAUAUUUUAUGUACCUAGAACUACC
RNAcentral lists this long non-coding RNA (37575 nucleotides) under Durio zibethinus. RNAcentral describes it as "long non-coding RNA (DZIB_LNC000395)". The record is from RNAcentral. Lineage: Eukaryota; Viridiplantae; Streptophyta; Magnoliopsida; Malvales; Malvaceae.